GACCUGUUAGCUCAGUUGGUUAGAGCCUGAUGCUGAUAACAUCAAGGUUGCUGGUUCAAUUCCGGCAUGGGCCA
Molecule: non-coding RNA, 74 nt
Organism: Hipposideros armiger (great roundleaf bat)
Lineage: Eukaryota; Metazoa; Chordata; Mammalia; Chiroptera; Hipposideridae
Source: the annotation of a RefSeq genome assembly